UGCAGAUUGGUCAUUUCCUACCUAUAUACCAAAUCGACAAUUGCACUUCAGAGUUAAGACAGAACCCAUCAUUUAUCAUUCGGAUUGUAGGCUGCAACUUUGCAUGAAGCCGGAAUCGCCAUUAAUCGCCGGCCAGCCCAUCACACUAUGAGAGCUGAGUAUUUUUCCCUCUCUCCUCCCUCUCCAGUAGGCGGAUAUUGGGUCUGCCCUCAGCUCCCGCCGCUUCCGCUUCUAAGCAACCAUCUUCAACGUUGAAGGAGUUCUUGAACUUUUGAAGUCGCAACUUUGAAUUCGUAAUACCUACUCGAUUUAGGCCUUAAUUUCAUAACCCAAGGUAGAAAUCGAGUUCUUCUGAGGUUUUAAACAAAUAUACCUUAUAAGGAAACUGAUCCUUGGAAAACCAUUCACGGGUUUUAGGUUCUUCGAUAAGAAUCAAGUUGGCCACAUUAGGAGUGAGAGACAGAGAGGGAGGGGACUUUUCGCUGCCAAUCAGAAGAAGAAGAAGAUUUGCUGAGGGAAAGUCUAGAGAGGAGGAAGGGAUGUCUUGGUCGAUUUCAGUCUGUUCCCAAUUUGGGAAUUUUCGUUUCACAUUCAAAAUUUCAAUCUUCAAAGGGCACGAUCUGCUGCACAAAUGGGUUUUCUUCUCCGAAUAUCUUGACUGCCAAUUCUAAUCCCCUUAACAGAGGUUUUAUGCAAAGGAGUAUCUGGAUUGUUCUUUAGCCACUGUUCCUGGUUUUGUUAGUUGCUGUUAGUUGGGUGUCCUGUUGUGAUUCAGAUAUUGGGAACAGUGUGCGAUCAAAUUUUGGAAGUGCUUUGAAUUCAGUCUCUAUAAAAGGUCAAGCACUGAGAUACGAAGGAGAAGACAACAAAUCAGUUUGGGUUCGUUCUGGAAAAGACCGGAGCUUGAUGAUGCAGCAGUCAAAGUUCAGAAGGUUUACAAGAGUUAUCGAACUCGAAGAAACCCUGCAGGUUGUGCAGUGGUGGCUGAGGAGGUGGAGAUACACAUUAGAUUCUCCAGCUGGGACUAAAGAGCUAUGAUGGAAAACUUUAGAUCCUGCAGCUCUCAAGCAGAGUUCUGUGUCAUUCUUCGAUGUUGAGAAGCCGGAAACCGCCGUUUUGUGGUGGGCAAGGGCUAGGACUAGGCUGCGAAGAUUGGAAAAGGUUUGUCUAAGGAUGAGAAAGCACAAAAGUUAGCUCUUCAACAUUGGCUUGCAGCUAUUCAUCCACGCCAUCUCUAUGGACACAAUUUACACAUGUACUACGAUUUGUGGUUUGAAAGUGAGAGCAGCCAGCCUUUCUUCUACUGGCUGGAUGUUGGAGAUGGCAAAGAAACAAAUCUUGAGAUAUGCUUGAGGACAGUUCUACAGAGCCAAUGCAUCAAGUACCUUGGACCGAAAGAAAGGAAAGCCUAUGAAGUAGUAGUCAAAGAUGGCAAGCUAAUACUGAUUGAUUUCUGAAAUUCUGCAAUCUAUCAAAACAAAAACCUCUGUUCUUUUUUUUGUUAAUUAAACAUCAUCAGAUCAAAUUCUGGAUAUUACUUUGGGCUCAGUUUCUCCAGAGUUUGGCAAUUAGCACAACUUUUUUGUUUUCUGGAAUCUUAGUUUUACUUACGUUGUUUGUUUC
Rosa chinensis is the source of this 1623-nucleotide long non-coding RNA. RefSeq lists it as uncharacterized. Lineage: Eukaryota; Viridiplantae; Streptophyta; Magnoliopsida; Rosales; Rosaceae. The record is from RefSeq and is a predicted model, not a curated record. The transcript is spliced from 15 exons.